This 468-nucleotide ribosomal RNA is filed under the name uncultured bacterium. RNAcentral describes it as "partial 16S ribosomal RNA". The stretch from base 48 to 468 matches the Rfam family "Bacterial small subunit ribosomal RNA", at positions 34 to 507 of the family's 1533-position model. The record is from RNAcentral.
GGGGGGGGGGGGGGGGGGGGGGGGGGGGGGGGGGGCGGGGGGGGGGGCGCGGGUGGUGUGGGGUGCUCGGGUGGCGAGCGGGUGAGUGACGCGUGAGUAACCUGCCCUUGACUGUGGGGUGACUUCAGGAAACUGGGGCUAGUCCCGGAUAGGAGCUCCUGCGGCGUGGUGGGUGUUGGACCGUUUCGGCGGGUGGGGAUGGACGCGCGGCUUCUCAGCUUGUUGGUGGGGUAGUGGCUUACCCAGGCUUUGACGGGUAGCGUGCCUGAGAGGGGCACCGGCCACAUUGGGAAAGAGAUAAGGCCCAGACUCCUAAGGGAGGCAGCAGGGGGGAAUAGUGCACAAUGGGCGGAAGCCUGAUGCAGCAACGCCGCGUGCGGGAUGACGGCCUUCGGGUUGUAAAACGCUUUCGCCUGUGACGAAGCGUGAGUGACGGUAAUGGGUAAAGAAGCACCGGCUAACUACGUG